RNAcentral lists this ribosomal RNA (401 nucleotides) under uncultured bacterium. Its description in RNAcentral is "partial 16S ribosomal RNA". It matches the Rfam family "Bacterial small subunit ribosomal RNA", at positions 28 to 526 of the family's 1533-position model. The record is from RNAcentral.
GAUGAACGCUGACAGAAUGCUUAACACAUGCAAGUCGGUGGCGGACGGGUGAGUAAUGUCUGGGAAACUGCCUGAUGGAGGGGGAUAACUACUGGAAACGGUAGCUAAUACCGCAUACCCUCAGAUGUGCCCAGAUGGGAUUAGCUAGUAGGUGGGGUAACGGCUCACCUAGGCGACGAUCCCUAGCUGGUCUGAGAGGAUGCACAGCCACACUGGAACGGAGACACGUUCCAGACUCCGACGGGAGGAAGCAGGGGGGAAUAUUGCACAAUGGGCGAAAGCCUGAUGCAGCCAUGCCGCGUGUGUGAAGAAGGCCUUCGGGUUGUAAAGCACUUUCAGCGGGGAGGCGUUACCCGAAGAAGAAGCACCGGCUAACUCCGUGCCAGCCGCCGCGGUAAUAC